UGGCCAUGACCAACAUGUCACAAUGCUGCA
This 30-nucleotide non-coding RNA is filed under the name Homo sapiens (human). Lineage: Eukaryota; Metazoa; Chordata; Mammalia; Primates; Hominidae. The record is from RNAcentral.